Molecule: ribosomal RNA, 477 nt
Filed under: uncultured bacterium
Lineage: Bacteria
Description: partial 16S ribosomal RNA
Rfam family: Bacterial small subunit ribosomal RNA
Source: RNAcentral
AUUGAACGCUGGCGGCAUGCCUUACACAUGCAAGUCGAACGGUAACAGGUUAAGCUGACGUGUGGCGAACGGGUGAGUAAUGUAUCGGAACGUGCCCAGUCGAGGGGGAUAACUGCUCGAAAGAGAAGCUAAUACCACAUCCGACCUGAGGGUGAAAGCGGAGGAUCGCACGACCUCGCGCGAUUGGACCGGCCGAUAUCAGAUUAGGUAGUUGGUGAGGUAAAGGCUUACCAAGCCGACGAUCUGUAGCUGGUCUGAGAGGACGACCAGCCACACUGGGACUGAGACACGGCCCAGACUCCUACGGGAGGCAGCAGUGGGGAAUUUUGGACAAUGGGCGCAAGCCUGAUCCAGCCAUGCCGCGUGCGGGAAGAAGGCCUUCGGGUUGUAAACCGCUUUUGUCAGGGAAGAAAAGGUUCUGGCUAAUACCUGGGACUCAUGACGGUACCUUAAGAAUAAGCACCGGCUAACUACGUG